This 253-nucleotide ribosomal RNA is filed under the name uncultured bacterium. RNAcentral describes it as "partial 16S ribosomal RNA". It matches the Rfam family "Bacterial small subunit ribosomal RNA", at positions 524 to 776 of the family's 1533-position model. The record is from RNAcentral.
GACGUAGGGGGCAAGCGUUGUCCGGAAUCAUUGGGCGUAAAGCGCUCGUAGGUGGAUCGGUAAGUCUGCAAAGAAAGACCCGGGCUCAACUCGGGGAACGGUGUGGAUACUACCGAUCUUGAGGCAAUCAGAGGAUGAUGGAAUUCCCGGUGUAGCGGUGAAAUGCGUAGAUAUCAGGAGGAACACCGGCGGUGUAGACGGCUUUCUGGACCGUAGCUGACGCUGAGACACGAAAGCGUGGGUAGCAAACAGG